Molecule: ribosomal RNA, 400 nt
Filed under: Sarocladium strictum
Lineage: Eukaryota; Fungi; Ascomycota; Sordariomycetes; Hypocreales; Sarocladiaceae
Description: partial small subunit ribosomal RNA
Rfam family: Eukaryotic small subunit ribosomal RNA
Source: RNAcentral
GCUUGUCUCAAAGAUUAAGCCAUGCAUGUCUAAGUGUAAAUAAGUCUAUACUGUGAAACUGCGAAUGGCUCAUUAAAUCAGUUAUCGUUUAUUUGAUGAUCUCUUACUACUUGGAUAACCGUAGUAAUUCUAGAGCUAAUACAUGCACAAAAUCCCGACUUACGAAGGGAUGUAUUUAUUAGAUACAAAACCAAUGCCCUUCGGGGCUCCUUGGUGAUUCAUGAUAACUAUACGAAUCGCACGGCCUUGCGCCGGCGAUGGUUCAUUCAAAUUUCUUCCCUAUCAACUUUCGAUGUUUGGGUAUUGGCCAAACAUGGUUGCAACGGGUAACGGAGGGUUAGGGCUCGACCCCGGAGAAGGAGCCUGAGAAACGGCUACUACAUCCAAGGAAGGCAGCAGG